This is a long non-coding RNA of Sapajus apella (tufted capuchin), 595 nucleotides long. RefSeq lists it as uncharacterized. The record is from RefSeq and is a predicted model, not a curated record. The transcript is spliced from 2 exons. NCBI's taxonomy places the organism in Eukaryota, Metazoa, Chordata, Mammalia, Primates, Cebidae.
CAUGGUGGUGGGCACCUGUAAUUGUAAUCCCAGCUACUCGGAGGCUGAGGCUGAAAUCACUCCACUGCACUCCAACCUGGGUGACUGAGCGAGACUGUCUCAAAAACAGAGUGGCUGCCUGGCAAAUGCUUUUCCACAGGUGUCUCUGUCACCAAUCACACUCUCCCAAUUACAUACGUGAACUACUCUUGGACUUUGUCAGCAGGCUGACACUGCAAAUUGCUUUGGGCUCACCAGGCACAGUCCUGCAGGCUCUGGGACAGCACCAGCAGCCUCCUGCUCACACUGGGCUUGGACCUCUGCGUGAGGGGCUGCUCCAAGGCUGCAGGUGAGGGUGUGAUAGAAGUUGACACAAGCUUCUGCAUGUACCAGAGUGAAAAAUAAAUGAUUUUAUUGUAGGGCCAAUGAUAGGUAUUCUCAAGGGCAUGAAAUGGCAGAUCUCUUGACUGAAGCAGAGAAGGCACACUGCCAAGACCCCCCAUGUGUGUCAAACACCGUGCACCAAUCAGGUUUUUAGAAGGGAAGUGGGAGAGGAAAAUUGAUUACUCCUUAGCAGAACUGAACUGCAAAAUAGGUUAAAUUCUUUGAAAAGUGA